RNAcentral lists this ribosomal RNA (503 nucleotides) under uncultured bacterium. Its description in RNAcentral is "bacterial SSU rRNA". It matches the Rfam family "Bacterial small subunit ribosomal RNA", at positions 29 to 524 of the family's 1533-position model. The record is from RNAcentral.
AUUGAACGCUGGCGGCGUGCCUAACACAUGCAAGUCGAGCGGUAACAGGUGUAGCAAUACAUGCUGACGAGCGGCGGACGGGUGAGUAACGCUUGGGAAUCUGCCUAUUAGUGGGGGACAACCCGGGGAAACUCGGGCUAAUACCGCAUACGCUCUACGGAGGAAAGCCGGGGACCGCAAGGCCUGGCGCUAAUAGAUGAGCCCAAGUCGGAUUAGCUAGUUGGUAGGGUAAUGGCCUACCAAGGCGACGAUCCGUAACUGGUCUGAGAGGACGACCAGUCACACCGGAACUGAGACACGGUCCGGACUCCUACGGGAGGCAGCAGUGGGGAAUAUUGGACAAUGGGCGAAAGCCUGAUCCAGCGACGCCGCGUGGGUGAAGAAGGCCUGCGGGUUGUAAAGCCCUUUCAGUGGGGAAGAAAAGCCUCGACCUAACACGUCGGGGUCUUGACGUAACCCAUAGAAGAAGCACCGGCUAACUCUGUGCCAGCAGCCGCGGUAAU